CAGGCCUGUUCCACUGGUAAGCUUUAAAGUGUCGAUCACUUUUCAGACGUUUUGCUAAGUGAAGGCUCAAGCAUACAACAGAGAGGCAUCUCCUGGCUGCACUAACCUACAGCUUCUGAGUCAUUUGCUUACCUGGCUUUUAGUGUAUCCACUCUGAGGGAUGUGCACACAAGAAUUUGAGAGGAGAAGCCAUGCAAACUGGAACCUCCGAAGAAUUAACUCUAGCUAAUAGACUGAGAUCUAAAGAAUUAGAUCCCGUGAAGCAUUUCAGGUGUCUAUUCAUUAAUCACUGGUUAAGAAAUACCUCUCAAGGCUUAUGUCUGAAGACAGCUGUAGUCAAAGAGCAGGUGAGCUGUGGCAAAUUACUGAUGCUCUGGUCAUGAAUGAGUUCUCUCUGGAUAAAUCACAUCUGAUGUUUUGGUGAAAAUAGACAUGCAUUUUGAAGCAAUGAACUGCACGUCUCUUCAGCAAGCCUCAAUGUAAAUCUGUGAUGUAUCUUUUUGGCAUCAAGACUGCCAGCAGCAAGGUGAAGAUGAGUGUGAUCUGCUAGUUGAAUGCUGAGCAUAUGGAAGGACAUCCUGUGCUAGGAACAAAAGGACAGUCAAGAAGAAUGAGGAAAAAGCAAACUUCAGCAGGAAAGCUUUGUAGUCCUUUGAGCACUGCUUCUUUAUUUUGGUUGUGGAUAAUUCUGUGUCUGCCUCUGUAGUUACUCCUUUCUAAGAACAACAUUAGACAACACUGAGCUGUGGUGCUUCAGAUUCUUUCUGUGGAUUAAUCUUCAGGUUCAAAAUUUGGGUUGGUACAAGGACCAUCUGUUUAGUGUAGUUUGCAGGCAGAGUGAAGAUAUGUAUGUUGUAAUUGUAUGUAACUCACUAAAUAGAGAAGGCAGAGAAUGUACUUGAACUUCUAUGUUUGUACUGAUGGACAUUUUGUAUAUACAGAGUUGUUCAGUUGAAGCUUUGGCUUUCCUCUUCUUUCUACUGUUGUGAGUGGUUAUGCUGCUAAUUUUGUUCAUGCUUGAGAGUGCUUGUAAAGAAUGAAGUGAUCAUAUCUUUUUUUUGUAUGUGGUGAUGUGGAGAAAAAUUUCUGAUUGCGCCUUUAUUGCGUUUGAACGGUGCAAUGGCUUCCAGGGUUAGUAAGAAAUAGAGACAUUCUCUGUCACCCAAGCUUUUUCUGUACUGUUCUGGUUAUAAUAGCUUAACACUCUGAGAAAGGGGACAUUUCACUCUGUAUUUGUACCUUCACAUUUCCCAUCCUGACAGCUUAUACCUUGUACUGAUGUUAAUUUUGCUUCCUCUUUGGCUCCAUUCUCAUUCAAUUCGGUCACUGUAUAUAAAAAUUUGCUUCUUGUUGUCCUGUUUGCUAUAAACAUUACUUCACAAGCAGCUGCAUGCUUACAUGUGUUUCAUACUAAGCCCAACACCCAUAUUACACCCACUUGACAAGGACUCUGUCCGCUGCAUAAACCAGAGCCGCUUCUUUGCCUUGACAUGUUCCUGGACUAGCUAGUUAGCUUUAACAUUUUUUCUACUCUUCAGCUUCCAUCUUCCCCAUUAUGCAUAGAGAUGGCCUUCACUGUAUCCCUUCUGACUUGCUGUUUUCAAAUGUUCAUUUGUUUUUCUUCAAUUUAUUCAUGUGUUUUAAAAAACUGUAAAUCAUGGCUAAUUGAAAAAUGAGAGAAGGCAAAAAAAAA
This is a long non-coding RNA of Numida meleagris (helmeted guineafowl), 1693 nucleotides long. RefSeq lists it as uncharacterized. The record is from RefSeq and is a predicted model, not a curated record. NCBI's taxonomy places the organism in Eukaryota, Metazoa, Chordata, Aves, Galliformes, Numididae. The transcript is spliced from 3 exons.